UACAGAGGUCCCAAGCGUUGUUCGGAUUUACUGGGCGUAAAGGGUGCGUAGGUGGUCGGAAAAGUCCGCUGUGAAAUCUUCGAGCUUAACUCGGAAAAGGCAUUGGAUACUAUUCGGCUGGAGGGUUGGAGGGGAGACUGGAAUUCUCGGUGUAGCAGUGAAAUGCGUAGAUAUCGAGAGGAACACCAGUGGCGAAGGCGAGUCUCUGGACAACUCCUGACACUGAGGCACGAAAGCUAGGGGAGCAAACAGG
Molecule: ribosomal RNA, 253 nt
Filed under: uncultured bacterium
Lineage: Bacteria
Description: partial 16S ribosomal RNA
Rfam family: Bacterial small subunit ribosomal RNA
Source: RNAcentral